RNAcentral lists this transfer RNA (66 nucleotides) under Scirtes sp. 2 ACP-2013. RNAcentral describes it as "tRNA-Ile". The record is from RNAcentral. Lineage: Eukaryota; Metazoa; Arthropoda; Insecta; Coleoptera; Scirtidae.
AAAUGAAGUGCCUGAUAAAAAGGAUUAUUUUGAUAGAAUAAAUCAUGUAAAUUUUUACCUUCAUUA